RNAcentral lists this ribosomal RNA (407 nucleotides) under Verrucomicrobiota bacterium. RNAcentral's name for it is "Verrucomicrobia bacterium partial 16S ribosomal RNA". It matches the Rfam family "Bacterial small subunit ribosomal RNA", at positions 355 to 776 of the family's 1533-position model. The record is from RNAcentral. Lineage: Bacteria; Pseudomonadati; Verrucomicrobiota.
UGGGGAAUAUUGGACAAUGGAGGAAACUCUGAUCCAGCAAUUCUGUGUGUGUGAAGAAGGUUUUAGGACUGUAAAACAUUUUUAGUAGGGAAGAAAAAAAUGACGGUACCUACAGAAGAAGCAACGGCUAAAUACGUGCCAGCAGCCGCGGUAAUACGUAUGUUGCGAGCGUUAUCCGGAAUUAUUGGGCUUAAAGGGCAUCUAGGCGGUAAGACAAGUUGAAGGUGAAAACCUGUGGCUCAACCAUAGGCUUGCCUACAAAACUGUUGAACUAGAGUACUGGAAAGGUGGGUGGAACUACACGAGUAGAGGUGAAAUUCGUAGAUAUGUGUAGGAAGGCAGAUGAUGAGGAUAACUCACUGGACGGAAACUGACGCUGAAGUGCGAAAGCUAGGGGGGCAAACAGG